UACGUAGGGUGCGAGCGUUAAUCGGAAUUACUGGGCGUAAAGCGUGCGCAGGCGGUUCGCUAAGACAGGGGGGAAAUCCCCGGGCUUAACCUGGGAAUGGCGCUUGUGACUGGCGGGCUGGAGUACGGCAGAGGGAGGUGGAAUUCCACGUGUAGCAGUGAAAUUCGUAGAGAUGUGGAGGAACACCGAUGGCGAAGGCAGCCUCCUGGGCCAGUACCGACGCUCAUGCACGAAAGCGUGGGGAGCAAACAGG
Molecule: ribosomal RNA, 253 nt
Filed under: uncultured bacterium
Lineage: Bacteria
Description: partial 16S ribosomal RNA
Rfam family: Bacterial small subunit ribosomal RNA
Source: RNAcentral